UUGGAAAUGGAUUCGUUCGACGAAACGAAACUGCCACUACGGCGGCGGCGGCAAUGGAUGGACCGGGGCUUCGUCCGCAGCUCGACAGUUACCUGACAACCACAUAGGAGUAUGAAGAAAACAAGAAAAACCCUGCAGUUCUGCAUUCGCCAUCAGCAUCGUCGUCGUCGUCAUCUGUGGGUGGUAGUACUGGAUGAUGAGAUAAACAUGGAGCUGGCAUAGUUGGAUUGGACAGAGAGAAACGUGCAGGAAACAAUUCAAGAUCACAAGCCAUUGGAUGAGGAGAGAUCCAAGGAGUUGAGCAGAGCUACCGUAUGCAUGCAUCACGUGGAGGGAAAACGAUGAGGCCGCAAAUCUCUAUCAAUACACACUCAGAUGUGUAAUAUUUAUGAUCACUAUUUAUUCCGGAAGCGAAGUCAUUCACCUACAACUACCCAAGCAAUUUUGGUUUUUCAUUUUCGUCAAAAUGCUGGCAAGUUUAUCCUACAAAACCACUUGCCUCCUAUACUAAUCUAAUUAUCUAUACUCUUAUAAAAAAGGAGUAGAAUCUGCCAUCACCACCUAUGCUCGCUACAGUUUUACAAUUUAG
Oryza brachyantha (malo sina) is the source of this 589-nucleotide long non-coding RNA. RefSeq lists it as uncharacterized. Lineage: Eukaryota; Viridiplantae; Streptophyta; Magnoliopsida; Poales; Poaceae. The record is from RefSeq and is a predicted model, not a curated record. The transcript has 4 exons.